Physeter macrocephalus (sperm whale) is the source of this 268-nucleotide long non-coding RNA. RefSeq lists it as uncharacterized. Lineage: Eukaryota; Metazoa; Chordata; Mammalia; Artiodactyla; Physeteridae. The record is from RefSeq and is a predicted model, not a curated record. The transcript has 3 exons.
GGCUAGGCAGAAGCCAGCAGAGUGAGAACCUUUCCUCCCCAGCCUCUCCCACAUCCUCCCACUGACCUAAGGACUCAGCCAUCCUUCGUUGAGGUGAGUGAGGCCCAUCAUGUUUCAGUAUGAGGACCACGGAGUCAAACUACUUGGGUUCAACUCCCAGCUCUACCACUGUUAACUACAGGGGAGCUACGUCAGCCCAGCAGCACGAAGGUUGGUGGCAGUGGCCCUUGAUCGGGGCCUGAGGCUCUGCAUCCUUCAUUUGAAAUUA